GCAAAAAGGAAGAACCUGGAUAUAAGAAAGUAUUUUUCAAAGAAACUUGUGGCAAUAUGUCCUAGUGCAGCCAGAGGGGAAAAGCCAGGGACAAAGUGUUGUGACGCAUGCCAGGUGUACUACUGCAAAGGACGGGUUAGCUGAUAUCAUUAGCAAUGGUAUCAUGUUAUAUUUUGAGACCACGUGAGGAAAGAGGUCUCAGAAAGAGGGUUUCCAGUCUGGAUGGCAUCUCAGCUAGCUUCUUGAAUGUACUCAAUCUUUACAAAUGCUGCUUAGAUUUGCUAUAUUGACAUCACACAGCAAGAUUCUGUCCUCUAUGGCUAUUUUAACAGUGAACAGAAUAUAGUGGCCUGCCACCUUCCUCUCUGUACGCCCCUUAAAAGUGCUUUCACUUGACAAGCUUUUGAAAAGGCAUAACUUUGCCUUUGAUUUUUGAGUGCCUACCAUUCCAAGGUAUAGGUGCUUCUUCACUUGCGUGAGAAGCCCUCAUUAAACAAAGAAUACAAUAUUGUGACAACAAAUAAAGCUAAUUUAAACUGUCA
Long non-coding RNA from Oreochromis aureus, 542 nucleotides. RefSeq lists it as uncharacterized. The transcript has 3 exons. The record is from RefSeq and is a predicted model, not a curated record. Lineage: Eukaryota; Metazoa; Chordata; Actinopteri; Cichliformes; Cichlidae.